RNAcentral lists this ribosomal RNA (239 nucleotides) under uncultured Lactobacillus sp. RNAcentral's name for it is "partial 16S ribosomal RNA". It matches the Rfam family "Bacterial small subunit ribosomal RNA", at positions 123 to 355 of the family's 1533-position model. Lineage: Bacteria; Bacillati; Bacillota; Bacilli; Lactobacillales; Lactobacillaceae. The record is from RNAcentral.
AACCUGCCCAAGAGAUCGGGAUAACACCUGGAAACAGAUGCUAAUACCGGAUAACAACAGAUGAUGCCUAUCAACUGUUUAAAAGAUGGUUCUGCUAUCACUCUUGGAUGGACCUGCGGUGCAUUAGCUAGUUGGUAGGGUAACGGCCUACCAAGGCGAUGAUGCAUAGCCGAGUUGAGAGACUGAUCGGCCACAUUGGGGCUGAGACACGGCCCAAACUCCUACGGGAGGCAGCAGUC